GGGCUCGUGGUCUAGUGGCAAUGACAGCGCCCUUACAAGGCGUUGAUCGCCGGUUCGAGUCCGGCCGGGCCCA
This 73-nucleotide transfer RNA is filed under the name Candidatus Woesearchaeota archaeon. RNAcentral's name for it is "tRNA-Val". It matches the Rfam family "tRNA". Rfam says of the family: Transfer RNA (tRNA) molecules are approximately 80 nucleotides in length. Their secondary structure includes four short double-helical elements and three loops (D, anti-codon, and T loops). Further hydrogen bonds mediate the characteristic L-shaped molecular structure. tRNAs have two regions of fundamental functional importance: the anti-codon, which is responsible for specific mRNA codon recognition, and the 3' end, to which the tRNAs corresponding amino acid is attached (by aminoacyl-tRNA synthetases). tRNAs cope with the degeneracy of the genetic code in two manners: having more than one tRNA (with a specific anti-codon) for a particular amino acid; and 'wobble' base-pairing, i.e. permitting non-standard base-pairing at the 3rd anti-codon position. Lineage: Archaea; Nanobdellati; Candidatus Woesearchaeota. The record is from RNAcentral.